Alligator mississippiensis (American alligator) is the source of this 2804-nucleotide long non-coding RNA. RefSeq lists it as uncharacterized. The record is from RefSeq and is a predicted model, not a curated record. The transcript has 3 exons. NCBI's taxonomy places the organism in Eukaryota, Metazoa, Chordata, Crocodylia, Alligatoridae.
GGAGCAGCCCCAGCUGUGCAGUGGAGACAACCGGCGAUUGGUUCGGAGAAUCAGGUAGAAGUCUCAAAAGCUUCCAGAAAACAAGAUCCAGUGGUGAGCGGAGGAGAGAGCACUUCCAACAGCAGACAGGGUCCUUUCAGCGCUACUUCUGGAUAAAGAGCUCAGAGUGGACCCAGAGGAACAUUGGGUCACCACUAGGACAAAAAAGGAAACUGCAACAGCGAAAGAACAGCACAGUCCAGUUUGACUUCCAGGUAACUUACCAGCCCAGGCCUAGAAAUGGGAAGGCAGACGCCCUCUUGCGGAAGACUGAGUAUGAUACAGACUUAUCACAAAAGCCAUACAAACCUAACCUGAUUUUGAAGCCUCAAAACUUCAUCAGUACCACACUGCCGACAGACUUGCUCUCCAUGCUCUGGGUCACUACCUGAGAAGAUUAAAAUACCCCCAGAAGAACAGACCAUCUUUAUGCAACAAACACACUGAGGUCCAGGAUGGGGUCAUAUUUAUCUGAGGUAGAAGCUAUAUGUACCCAAGUCUGGUUAGACUGCCUAUCCUUCACCUAAACUAUGACCUCCCUUCCCUGCUCCACCCCCAUCCCCGCAACAGGCCCCGUGGAACCAAAAAGACCCAGUGCCUCAUCUCUUGCUACUUUUGAUGGCUGCAACGGUGCAAGACUGUGUAGAUCAGGGGUGUCCAGCCUUUUUGAAUGUGGGGCUGGAUCACAAACUUUUUAUCACGCAGUGGGCCGGCGAGCCAUAUUCAAGGACCUCACAGGAAGUGGUAUCACAUCAGGAAGUGAUGUCAUGUGACCUUUGACACCAGUGAAGUUGCAGGAAGUGACAAUGAAAUGGGUCUGGAAAUGUGGUUUAAAAUCCAAAAUAAAAACAAUAUAAAAGCAAGAAUGAAAUAAUACCAAACACUUGACUAAAAUAAACAUUUUCACUUCUACUCACUUCUCAGUGAAUGAAAGAAGCGUAAUGCAAGUUGACAGAUCAAAUGUCAAAAAGAUAUCAGCCAGAGUGGAAACUAAUCAAAGCAACAAAAUAUGGGCAUUUUUGAGAAUAAUCUUCAAGAAGAUUUACUUUUAUUGAAUUAAUAAUGAGUUAUGACUAAAGGUUACAUAAUAAAACCCUGGUUUUAAAUGUUGACCAUAAUUUAAAUAGCAACAUCAGAAGGGCUUGUCAGCCUCAUCCAGUCUUAAAAUAAAUUGCCCUUUUCUACACAGAGGUUGAUGGCAACAUGAAACUUGACCGCUAGGGAAGCCCAUCCAAAGAUAUGUGCUCCCUUCACACCUCCCUACUCAUCCCUACAGGUGUUCCCAACACCCCUUCUUCCCCCCCACACACACACAUGCUCCCUAUACCCUUCCUUACAUGCACCCCCUAUUCAUCCCUACACCCACUCCCAGCCCCCCACAUCACUAUGAACCCCCCCACACUCAUAGUCCUUGUUGACCCUUUCACCCCAAUUGUGCCCUCACAUAUGGACUCCUGCACCCACACCCAACACACAUACAGGCAACACUCACCCACCAAAGUGUCAAGGGACCCACAUGCAGCCUCUCACCCUCAUAAGAUUCCAGUGAUUCAAUUGCUAGCAGCCUGCUUUUGAGCAAAGCACAUCUAGUGUAGUCCUCAUGGUGCACCAGACCAGCUGCUCCCACUUUUAAUAAAGGCUGGGGCAUUAGGAUCCGCAGUUGUGGCUGGACAUAGAGCGCCUCUGGGCCGGGCUCCUCCCGCCCAGCCUGGCUCCAGCAACCGCACACCCCACAGCCCCAGCCCGGCCCCAAAGCACCCCCAGCUCCACGCAGGAACUUACCCGUGCCUCCAUCCACCAUGCAUGUGGGCAGGGCACGGGCCAUGCUGCAGCUCCCCUGGCCACGUGCCGGGGGCAAGGGGCUGAGCCAGAGAAGAAGCUGCACACGCUGUCCCCAGCUCAUCUAAUCAGGCGCGGCUGGGACAGCCCCAAGCCAUGCAGCCCUCGGGGCAGCGGCGGCAGGACCCGUCUCACUGAUGAGCCUGGCCCCGCAGGGGUAAGCAGCUCCCCUCCCCUCGCUGCCGGCUGGGGCCUGCGAGCUGGCCCUACCUGCCUUGCCUAGCCUUGCCACUGCCCCGCCUCUGCGACCCGUGGCAGCGGCUCCACGGUGGCACCACCGUGGCUCUGCGCUCCACGGUGGUGGCGGCGGCGGCAGCGGCAGCGCUGCCACAGGCCAGAUAAAAUGGCUUGGCAGGCUGCAUGGCAGCCCAUGGGCCAUAUGUUGGACAAGCCUGACUUAGAGAGAAUUGGGGCCUCUGCCUGAUCAGAAGAGCUGCUCAUCUUGGCAUGCCACCCUGAUCAAAGCUGUCCAGUGGGGCCUUGAUUUGUUUCCACUCACCAGCACCCGAGUGUCUGUCUGGGAUUUACUGACACUCCAGUUCCUCCAUAUAAACCCCUGACCCAAAAUAGGACAACAAGCCUAGUGAACGUAACCUGAUCCCAGACUGCCUUGCUGUUCCCUCCAGCUUGUCCUGGAACUCUGCUCUCUGUUUGGUCUCCUAGCUUCCUGGCUCCUCCUAUUCCUAGUCUCUGUGCUCAAAUUGACCUCCUAGUUUCCUGAACAAUGUUGUCCCUAGAAUUAGCUCAUUCUUCCUAACGCUUGUACCUUGAUCCUAAUCCUUCAGUACCUUGAUCCCCAAGUGCCCUAGACCUGUCCACCCACACUGUAGUGAUGCAUCAAAUAUUUUAACUUUGAAGCAAAAGGAGAAAUCUAAACCUGCUUUAAUGUGCAUGACUAUUGCCACUAAUUUACAAGAAACACUAAA